GGGUGCGAUCAUACCAACGUUAAUGCACCAAAUACCAUCGGAACUCCGCAGUUAAGCGGGCUUGGGCUAGAGUAGUAUUGGGAUGGGUGACCUCCUGGGAAGUCCUAAUGUUUCACCCU
Non-coding RNA from Picea glauca (white spruce), 119 nucleotides. Lineage: Eukaryota; Viridiplantae; Streptophyta; Pinopsida; Pinales; Pinaceae. The record is from Rfam.